CCUACGGGUGGCUGCAGUGAGGAAUAUUGGUCAAUGGGCGCGAGCCUGAACCAGCCAAGUAGCGUGAAGGAUGACGGCCCUACGGGUUGUAAACUUCUUUUAUAAAGGAAUAAAGUGAGGCACGUGUGUCCUUUUGUAUGUACUUUAUCAAUAAGGAUCGGCUAACUCCGUGCCAGCAGCCGCGGUAAUACGGAGGAUCCGAGCGUUAUCCGGAUUUAUUGGGUUUAAAGGGAGCGUAGGUGGGUUGUUAAGUCAGUUGUGAAAGUUUGCGGCUUAACCCUGAAAUUGCCAUUGAUACUGGCAGCCUUGAGUACAGUUGAGGUAGGCGGAAUUCGUGGUGUAGCGGUGAAAUGCUUAGAUAUCACGCAGAACACCGAUUGCGAAGGCAGCUUACUAAACUGCCACUGACGUUGAGGCUCGAAAGUGUGGGUAUCAAACAGGAUUAGAUACCCGAGUAGUC
This 460-nucleotide ribosomal RNA is filed under the name uncultured bacterium. Its description in RNAcentral is "partial 16S ribosomal RNA". It matches the Rfam family "Bacterial small subunit ribosomal RNA", at positions 338 to 795 of the family's 1533-position model. The record is from RNAcentral.